GGGUCCGCCUUGAGUGCCCGGGUGAGAAGCAUGAUCCCGGGUAAUUAUGGCGGACCCACAGAU
RNAcentral lists this unclassified non-coding RNA (63 nucleotides) under synthetic construct. The record is from RNAcentral.